GUCUACGGCCAUGCUACUCUGAACAAGCCCAGUCCCAUCUGAUUUCGGAAGCUAAGCAGGGUCGGGCCUGGUUAGUACUUGGAUGGGAGACCACCUAGGAAGACCAGGUGCUGUAGGUG
Molecule: ribosomal RNA, 119 nt
Filed under: Pteropus alecto (black flying fox)
Lineage: Eukaryota; Metazoa; Chordata; Mammalia; Chiroptera; Pteropodidae
Source: RNAcentral